GACGAACGCUGGCGGUGUGCUUAACACAUGCAAGUCGAACGGAAAGGCCCUGCUUUUGUGGGGUGCUCGAGUGGCGAACGGGUGAGUAACACGUGAGUAACCUGCCCUUGACUUUGGGAUAACUUCAGGAAACUGGGGCUAAUACCGUAUAGGAGCUCCUGCUGCAUGGUGGGGGUUGGAAAGUUUCGGCGGUUGGGGAUGGACUCGCGGCUUAUCAGCUUGUUGGUGGGGUAGUGGCUUACCAAGGCUUUGACGGGUAGCCGGCCUGAGAGGGUGACCGGCCACAUUGGGACUGAGAUACGGCCCAGACGCCUACGGGAGGCAGCAGUGGGAAAUAUUGCACAAUGGGCGGAAGCCUGAUGCAGCAACGCCGCGUGCGGGAUGACGGCCUUCGGGUUGUAAACCGCUUUCGCCUGUGACGAAGCGUGAGUGACGGUAAUGGGUAAAGAAGCACCGGCUAACUACGUG
RNAcentral lists this ribosomal RNA (468 nucleotides) under uncultured bacterium. RNAcentral's name for it is "partial 16S ribosomal RNA". It matches the Rfam family "Bacterial small subunit ribosomal RNA", at positions 28 to 507 of the family's 1533-position model. The record is from RNAcentral.